RNAcentral lists this ribosomal RNA (619 nucleotides) under bacterium DR2A-6G17. RNAcentral's name for it is "bacterial SSU rRNA". It matches the Rfam family "Bacterial small subunit ribosomal RNA", at positions 271 to 879 of the family's 1533-position model. The record is from RNAcentral.
AGGCGACGAUGCGUAGCCGACCUGAGAGGGUGAUCGGCCACACUGGGACUGAGACACGGCCCAGACUCCUACGGGAGGCAGCAGUAGGGAAUCUUCCGCAAUGGACGAAAGUCUGACGGAGCAACGCCGCGUGAGCGAUGAAGGCCUUCGGGUCGUGAAGCUCUGUUGUUAGGGAAGAACAAGUGCUAGUUGAAUAAGCUGGCACCUUGACGGUACCUAACCAGAAAGCCACGGCUAACUACGUGCCAGCAGCCGCGGUAAUACGUAGGUGGCAAGCGUUAUCCGGAAUUAUUGGGCGUAAAGCGCGCGCAGGUGGUUUUUUAAGUCUGAUGUGAAAGCCCACGGCUCAACCGUGGAGGGUCAUUGGAAACUGGGAGACUUGAGUGCAGAAGAGGAAAGUGGAAUUCCAUGUGUAGCGGUGAAAUGCGUAGAGAUAUGGAGGAACACCAGUGGCGAAGGCGACUUUCUGGUCUGCAACUGACACUGAGGCGCGAAAGCGUGGGGAGCACACAGGAUUAGAUACCCUGGUAGUCCACGCCGUAAACGAUGAGUGCUAAGUGUUAGAGGGUUUCCGCCCUUUAGUGGCUGAAGUUAACGCAUUAAGCACUCCGCCUGGGGA